GACCUUUGAUCUUUGACAUAUCAUAACUCGGUCAAAUAUUGAGAUAUUGAAAAAUUCUUUGUCCUUGAUGUUCUCUCCGAAAACGUAUCACAAGUUAGGGGUUUCAGCUUGGAAGAAGAAAGUUUCCCCCCUUGAGGAAGGGUCAAAGGGGGGGGGAGCGGGAAUUUUUCGUACACUAUGUAUAUUUCCUAAAAUUAGGAGUAAUCAAGUUUCAGAAAACGCGUUCUCCCGAAAAAGGGCGGAUGCGCGCAUAUACGCCUUUGUCUCAAAGAACUCCAUGUAACCUGCCGGCGCAGUGGCCGGCGCGGCGACUAGAAGAAAAAAUCAGUUGCACCUCAUGAAAUUUUAGCUCUAUUUUCGAGUGACCGCGGUAUUGCGCUGUCUAUUAUAGUUUGCACCUAUAGAUGCUUGUCUGAGGGAUAUUUUCUUGAAAAAGUAGCAGAUUUGUCAAUUGUUCAUGUGGCUCCGUUUUCCUCGUUGGCAUAAGAUGAGAUAGGUCCAGUCAGCACCCGAUAUCUCCAAAACGCGCCACGCCGCGCUGCGCCUCGUCGCACAGUUUACAUUUGAUUUGGAGCGGCCUGUGCGUGAAACUAAAUUCGGCGAUAGUACAUCAUCACAUGAGCAACUAUACAUGUGAAAGCAAAGAUCUUGACAUGGAGAUAUGUUACACUUUACGAAACAAGCACAAUAUAACACAUUGUUAACACAGUUAUCAGCUAAUGUUUGUACACUGUAGAUAACACCUUCAGAUGAUUGGGAUUUGAUCGUAACAUCCUUCAAAGUCUUCUUCUUCAAAGACAUCUUCAUCGAGAAUCUCAAGCCUCUCAUAUGGUGGCUAUUCUUCACAUCAUUUUUGUCCUCUGGCAUCUCGCCGUUUUAGCGUCAUCGCAAGGCUGUUUAGCUGGCACUUCAGUGUUAUGGUCAUUAGACUGCUGGACAAUUUCUGCAGUUGAAUGGAUGUCAGCUUGUUCAGCGGAUUGUUUUCUUGUUUUUUUCAGUGACUCGUCAUUUUCAUUCUUGUCAGUGAGUACAUCUGAUUGCGAUUUGCUGUUACGGUUGGUGGCCCAGGCUCGUUUGAUGUGCCUUUCACAGAAUAGAGGUGCGUUUUCAGUUGAGACUAGAAAAACAAAUGCACCUUUCUACAAUCAUCAUGGGAGAAUUGUAAUGGUAGAAGGGUCGGCUACCAUGCCGACCGUCGAAAAUACUCCAAUGCCCAGGGAGAAUAAUAAUGACUGUGAUGAAGAACACCAAUAAAGAACUCACUUUCUUUGAAGGAAUAAAGCUUUUCUUCACAAAAGAUCAAAAAGAUCUAUAAAAGGGUUAAUACAGGGAUUGUAACGAUCAACAAACUUUUUCUCUCUGAUUCGACUGCAAAAGUAAGCCAAAUCUAUACAUCCAACCACGGCAACCCCUUCUACCGUGGCCCAGACCGUUCCAGCUGAUAUGUCUUAAUGGCGGGAACAUUCCGGCCCGCUUUAAAUCCCGAAGGGAUCAAGACGAGUAGGAUGACCCGCCCUACUGACGCAGCUGAGACGGCCCGAGCCCCUGAGGCAGGGGUCCCGCACCAUCACUAACACCUACGCACAGGGAAUAUUGCAAAAAUAUUUCCUGAAUCAUCGACAUCUAAGGUGUUCCAAAGAGUUUCUUCAAACGCUGACUCUACUAAGGCUCUACCCAAUGGCUCUUUGUAGACUCGCAUCGUGCCUUUCCGAUUGGUUUGUCGUUCGUCCAUCAAACCCCUCCUCCGACUCUUCUGGCUCUUGCCUUGGAGAGUAGCUAGAAGGGACUACAUUAAACCCCGACUCAAAAGAUCUGGAAGCGAACACACCUCACUAUUUGUGACUUGUCAGCCUUCUUAAAAAUAGUGGGUGAUUCAAAGAGAGCUGG
This 1887-nucleotide long non-coding RNA is filed under the name Bemisia tabaci. Its description in RNAcentral is "lncRNA ENSASIAIIG008004". Lineage: Eukaryota; Metazoa; Arthropoda; Insecta; Hemiptera; Aleyrodidae. The record is from RNAcentral.